CAAUAGCGAAUAUUUAAGUUGUUGCAGUUAAAAAGCUCGUAGUUGGAUUUCGGUUAAGAGCGACCGGUCCGCCGUUUGGUGUGCACUGGUUGGUUUUAACUUCCUGUAGAGGACGUGCUCUGGGUUUAACGACCUGGACUCGGAGUCUACGUGGUUACUUUGAAAAAAUUAGAGUGUUCAAAGCGGGCUUACGCUUGAAUAUUUCAGCAUGGAAUAACACUAUAGGACUCCUGUCCUAUUUCGUUGGUCUCGGGACGGGAGUAAUGAUUAAGAGGAACAGUUGGGGGCAUUCGUAUUUCAUUGUCAGAGGUGAAAUUCUUGGAUUUAUGAAAGACGAACUUCUGCGAAAGCAUUUGCCAAGGAUGUUUUCAUUAA
Molecule: ribosomal RNA, 375 nt
Filed under: uncultured eukaryote
Lineage: Eukaryota
Description: partial 18S ribosomal RNA
Rfam family: Eukaryotic small subunit ribosomal RNA
Source: RNAcentral